This 224-nucleotide ribosomal RNA is filed under the name uncultured bacterium. Its description in RNAcentral is "partial 16S ribosomal RNA". It matches the Rfam family "Bacterial small subunit ribosomal RNA", at positions 111 to 334 of the family's 1533-position model. The record is from RNAcentral.
CGGUACGUGGGUACCGUGCCUCAUACAGGGGGGUAGCAGCUGGAAACGGGUGAUAAAACCGCAUAAGCGCACAGCAUCGCAUGAUGCAGUGUGAAAAACUACCGGUGGUAUGAGAUGGACCCGCGUCUGAUUAGCUGGUUGGUGAGGUAACGGCCCACCAAGGCGACGAUCAGUAGCCGGCCUGAGAGGGUGACCGGCCACAUUGGGACUGAGACACGGCCCAA